AGAGUUUGAUCAUGGCUCAGAAUCAACGCUGGCGGCGUGCCUAACACAUGCAAGUCGUACGCGAAAGGGGCUUCGGCCCUGAGUAGAGUGGCAAACGGGUGAGUAACACGUGGGUGACCUGCCUCAGAGUGGGGGAUAACGUCCCGAAAGGGACGCUAAUACCGCAUAACAUCCUGCCUUUGGAAAGGCGGAGAUCAAAGCCGGGGAUCGCAAGACCUGGCGCUUGGAGAGGGGCCCGCGUCUGAUUAGCUAGUUGGUAGGGUAAUGGCCUACCAAGGCAACGAUCAGUAUCCGGCCUGAGAGGGCGGACGGACACACUGGGACUGAGACACGGCCCAGACUCCUACGGGAGGCAGCAGUGGGGAAUUGUUCGCAAUGGGCGCAAGCCUGACGACGCAACGCCGCGUGGAGGAUGAAGAUCUUCGGGUCGUAAACUCCUGUCGAGCGGGAAGAACACUUUCCGGGUGAACAAUCCGGAAGGCUGACGGUACCGCUAAAGGAAGCCCCGGUAACUCGUGCCAGCAGCCGCGGUAAUAC
RNAcentral lists this ribosomal RNA (537 nucleotides) under uncultured bacterium. RNAcentral's name for it is "bacterial SSU rRNA". It matches the Rfam family "Bacterial small subunit ribosomal RNA", at positions 8 to 526 of the family's 1533-position model. The record is from RNAcentral.